RNAcentral lists this ribosomal RNA (253 nucleotides) under uncultured bacterium. Its description in RNAcentral is "partial 16S ribosomal RNA". It matches the Rfam family "Bacterial small subunit ribosomal RNA", at positions 524 to 776 of the family's 1533-position model. The record is from RNAcentral.
CACGUAGGGGGCAAGCGUUGUCCGGAAUCAUUGGGCGUAAAGAGCGUGUAGGCGGCCCGGUAAGUCCGCUGUGAAAGUCCAGGGCUCAACCCUGGGAUGCCGGUGGAUACUGUCGGGCUCGAGUCCGGAAGAGGAGUGUGGAAUUCCUGGUGUAGCGGUGAAAUGCGCAGAUAUCAGGAGGAACACCAAUGGCGAAGGCAGCACUCUGGGACGUGACUGACGCUGAGACGCGAAAGCGUGGGGAGCAAACAGG